RNAcentral lists this ribosomal RNA (305 nucleotides) under uncultured bacterium. RNAcentral describes it as "bacterial SSU rRNA". It matches the Rfam family "Bacterial small subunit ribosomal RNA", at positions 335 to 655 of the family's 1533-position model. The record is from RNAcentral.
AUCCUACGGGGGGCAGCAGUGGGGAAUAUUGCACAAUGGGGGAAACCCUGAUGCAGCAACGCCGCGUGAGUGAAGAAGUCAUUCGUGAUGUAAAGCUCUAUCAGCAGGGAAGAAAGAAAUGACGGUACCUGACUAAGAAGCCCCGGCUAACUACGUGCCAGCAGCCGCGGUAAUACGUAGGGGGCAAGCGUUAUCCGGAUUUACUGGGUGUAAAGGGAGCGUAGACGGCGAUGCAAGUCUCAAGUGAAAGGCGGGGGCCCAACCCCCGGACUGCUUUGGAAACUGUAUGGCUGGAGGUCAGGAGG